Xenopus laevis (African clawed frog) is the source of this 1148-nucleotide long non-coding RNA. RefSeq lists it as uncharacterized. Lineage: Eukaryota; Metazoa; Chordata; Amphibia; Anura; Pipidae. The transcript is spliced from 4 exons. The record is from RefSeq and is a predicted model, not a curated record.
CGAGUGGCGGAUAUCCGCUAAAACAAGUAUGGCGGCGCCCGUGGCAGUGAUUAGUGCAGGCUGGAUGUAUCAGGAUGGAGGUGGAAGUAAAGCUGUCGGUGGCACAAAAGCGAAUCAAUGCGGAGUUGGGAUCACAGAGCGGCCUCCAUCUAGUGACCCCGGGGACUCCAUCACCACGGACACGGGACUGAUGAGAGCUCCCAGCACCUUUUAUGCUACCACAGGACUUCAGUGUUGGCAAUGGGACUACAUUUGAUCAGAAGAAUGAAAACACAAGUAACGUAAUCAUUGGUGUUGCUGAUCUAAUUGGUGUUGCUGCCCUUACAAUUACUGCAGUAGCCUGUUGGCAAUGGAAAAAGAUCAGUACAGUCUGUACAUAACCUGCCUAACUGCUAGUUGAUCCAGAGGAAGCAAAAAAAAAAAAAACCCCAUUUGAAGCCUCUCCUAUUUGACUCAGAGGGGGAAAAUAUUCCUUCCUGACUCCAAGAUGCAAUGGGACCAGUCCCUUUAAGAAUGAAUUGUAUAAAACUGGGAAAUCUACAAAUCUUUGCAGCAUUUCUGUCGGUACUUCUGUCCAUUUGGAAUUGUUCUGAUCACUUGAGCAGGCUCCUCUUUACUUCCUAAUCUGCCAAUGCACAAAACACUGGCAUCAGCAGAUGGAUUUUCUAAACAUAGACUAUUCCUAAACUUACUGACUAUAGUACAUGGGUAUUGGUGGAGAGUGCCAGGAACCGUUUGUGUAUGGCCAGGCGCUAAAAACGCCUUUAGAUGCCAAAAACCUUUUUUUUUUUUUUUUCCAUUGUGCAUUUAACUGUUUGUAAUGUUGCUUUAUUUGUCUUUUAUAAGAAAAUACAAAAGGCUUAUUUAUUUUGGUGAUUUCAUUUUAUUUUAAAGAGCAAGAAAUUUAUGCUAGUUUCCCCCCACUGAAUAAGUCUGCUUACUUUGCUCACUACAGUCCAUUUUCCCAUUUCUCUGGUACUUGGAAUCAGACACCGUAAUAUUUUGGCUAUGGGAGGAGUCUGGGAAAUUUACAACAUGAGCCAAAAAAAAGUUUCUGAUUUUACAGUUUUUUCCCUAAAUAAGAUUUAGCUAUAUUUAUAAUGAAUUUUUUUUUUUUCAAAACAAUAUAUUAAAUAUAAUGGAUUAUA